This 75-nucleotide transfer RNA is filed under the name Candidatus Kaiserbacteria bacterium RIFCSPHIGHO2_01_FULL_48_10. Its description in RNAcentral is "tRNA-Arg". It matches the Rfam family "tRNA". Rfam says of the family: Transfer RNA (tRNA) molecules are approximately 80 nucleotides in length. Their secondary structure includes four short double-helical elements and three loops (D, anti-codon, and T loops). Lineage: Bacteria; Candidatus Kaiseribacteriota. The record is from RNAcentral.
GCCCUCAUAGCUCAAUGGAUAGAGCAGCUCCGUCCUAAGGAGACGAUGUCAGUUCGAUUCUGGCUGAGGGCACCU